Molecule: ribosomal RNA, 468 nt
Filed under: uncultured bacterium
Lineage: Bacteria
Description: partial 16S ribosomal RNA
Rfam family: Bacterial small subunit ribosomal RNA
Source: RNAcentral
GACGAACGCUGGCGGCGUGCUUAACACAUGCAAGUCGAACGGAAAGGCCCUGCUUUUGUGGGGUGCUCGAGUGGCGAACGGGUGAGUAACACGUGAGUAACCUGCCCUUGACUUUGGGAUAACUUCAGGAAACUGGGGCUAAUACCGGAUAGGAGCUCCUGCUGCACGGUGGGGGUUGGAAAGUUUCGGCGGUUGGGGAUGGACUCGCGGCUUAUCAGCUUGUUGGUGGGGUAGUGGCUUACCAAGGCUUUGACGGGUAGCCGGCCUGAGAGGGUGACCGGCCACAUGGGGACUGAGAUACGGACCAGACUGCUACGGGAGGCAGUGGUGGGGAAUAUUGCACAAUGGGCGCAAGCCUGAUGCAGCAACGCCCCGUGCGGGAUGACGGCCUUCGGGUUGUAAACCGCUGUCGCCUGAGACGAGGCGUGAGUGACGGUAAUGGGUAAAGAAGCAACGGCUAACUACGUG